AUAAUAAUUAGUCUUUUAAUUGGAGGCUGGUAUGAAAGAUUGAACGAGAUAAAUACUGUCUCAUUAAAAUUAAAGUUUAACUUAAUAUUUAAGUAAAAAAGCUUAAAUGUUAUUAUAGGACGAGAAGACCCCAUAGAGUUUAAUAUUUAAUUAUAAUUUUUUAAAAAAUUAUAUUAAAUUAUUAUUAAAUAUUUUGUUGGGGCGACAGGAAAAUUUAAUAAACUUUUUUAAUAUUAUUUACAAAAAUUAUUGGAAUUUUGAUCCUAAAUUUUAGAUUAUUAGAUUAAGUUACCUUGGGGAUAACAGCGUUAUUUUUUUUAGAAGUUCAUAUUAAUAAAAAAGAUUGC
RNAcentral lists this ribosomal RNA (347 nucleotides) under Pseudoperga guerinii. RNAcentral's name for it is "partial 16S ribosomal RNA". The record is from RNAcentral. Lineage: Eukaryota; Metazoa; Arthropoda; Insecta; Hymenoptera; Pergidae.